AGCGAACGCUGGCGGCAGGCCUAACACAUGCAAGUCGAGCGCGUGUCGCAAGACACGAGCGGCAGACGGGAGAGUAACACGUGGGAACGUACCCUUUGGUUCGGAACAACCCAGGGAAACUUGGGCUAAUACCGAAUAAGCCCUUACGGGGAAAGGAUUUAUCGCCGAAGGAUCGGCCCGCGUCUGAUUAGCUAGUUGGUGGGGUAACGGCCCACCAAGGCGACGAUCAGUAGCUGGUCUGAGAGGAUGAUCAGCCUCACUGGGACUGAGACACGGCCCAGACUCCUACGGGAGGCAGCAGUGGGGAAUAUUGGACAAUGGGCGCAAGCCUGAUCCAGCCAUGCCGCGUGGGUGAUGAAGGCCCUA
This 366-nucleotide ribosomal RNA is filed under the name uncultured bacterium. Its description in RNAcentral is "bacterial SSU rRNA". It matches the Rfam family "Bacterial small subunit ribosomal RNA", at positions 29 to 419 of the family's 1533-position model. The record is from RNAcentral.